CCUACGGGCGGCUGCAGUGAGGAAUAUUGGUCAAUGGGCUUACGCCUGAACCAGCCAAGUCGCGUGAGGGAAGACUGCCCUAUGGGUUGUAAACUUCUUUUGUCAGGGAGUAACGCCGGCCACGUGUAGCCGUACUGAGAUUAUCUGUAGAUAAAGCAUCGGCUAACUCCGUGCCAGCAGCCGCGGUAAUACGGAGGAUGCGAGCGUUAUCCGGUUUGAUUGGGUUUAAAGGGUGCGUAGGCGGAAUGCCAAGUCAGCGGUAAAAUAGCGGGGCUCAACCUCGCUUUGCAGUUGAGACUGGCGUUCUUGAGUGGGCGUGAAGUAUGCGGAAUGCGUGGUGUAGCGGUGAAAUGCAUAGAUAUCACGCAGAACUCCGAUUGCGAAGGCAGCAUACCGGCGCCCAACUGACGCUGAAGCACGAAAGCGUGGGUAUCGAACAGGAUUAGAUACCCCAGUAGUC
RNAcentral lists this ribosomal RNA (460 nucleotides) under uncultured bacterium. RNAcentral describes it as "partial 16S ribosomal RNA". It matches the Rfam family "Bacterial small subunit ribosomal RNA", at positions 338 to 795 of the family's 1533-position model. The record is from RNAcentral.